Molecule: long non-coding RNA, 394 nt
Organism: Pezoporus occidentalis (night parrot)
Lineage: Eukaryota; Metazoa; Chordata; Aves; Psittaciformes; Psittacidae
Exons: 3
Source: RefSeq, a predicted model, not a curated record
UGUGUGAGCUGCUGGGGAAACAAGGAGAAGCAGGCUGAACUCAUGGAGCACUCUGUUAGGACUCUGUGUCCAUACACAGUCAAACUUCCCUGGAGAACACAGAAGAAAAAUCCAGUUUCUGGAGAGCAGAUGCCCACUCCUCUCACAGGAGCCUGGAGCCAGUGGCAGCGGCUGUUCUGUAGAAGCAGUUUCCUCACCACCUCUUCCACUCAUCAAUUAUUUCAUGGGAAGAUUUCUUUUAAUUACAAGAUGGAAAAUUCAGCGUGCUUGAAGCCAUCACUGGGGAGCUUUUCAUGUGUGGUGAUGAAGCGAAGGCAUCUGAAGCAUUACAAAAAAUGCUUUAUUAUGGCAAAAUCUGGACGUCAUCAUUUACCUUUGGUUGGGGAAAACUCUG